This 459-nucleotide ribosomal RNA is filed under the name uncultured bacterium. RNAcentral describes it as "partial 16S ribosomal RNA". It matches the Rfam family "Bacterial small subunit ribosomal RNA", at positions 338 to 795 of the family's 1533-position model. The record is from RNAcentral.
CCUACGGGAGGCUGCAGUGAGGAAUAUUGGUCAAUGGGCGAGAGCCUGAACCAGCCAAGUCGCGUGAAGGAAGACGGCCCUACGGGUUGUAAACUUCUUUUGUCAGGGAGCAAAAUCAGGCUCGAGAGGCUGACCGAGGGUACUUGAAGAAAAAGCAUCGGCUAACUCCGUGCCAGCAGCCGCGGUAAUACGGAGGAUGCGAGCGUUAUCCGGAUUUAUUGGGUUUAAAGGGUGCGUAGGCGGGCUGUAAAGUCAGCGGGAAAAGCCCGGGGCUCAACCCCGUCGAGCCGUUGAAACUGGCUGUCUUGAGAUGUCGAGAGGUAUGCGGAAUGCGUAGUGUAGCGGUGAAAUGCGUAGAUAUCGCGCAGAACUCCGAUUGCGAAGGCAGCAUACCGGCGGCCAACUGACGCUGAGGCACGAAAGCGUGGGUAUCGAACAGGAUUAGAUACCCCAGUAGUC